RNAcentral lists this ribosomal RNA (342 nucleotides) under uncultured bacterium. RNAcentral's name for it is "bacterial SSU rRNA". It matches the Rfam family "Bacterial small subunit ribosomal RNA", at positions 30 to 372 of the family's 1533-position model. The record is from RNAcentral.
AUUGAACGCUGGCGGCAUGCCUUACACAUGCAAGUCGAACGGCAGCAUGGGAGCAAUCCUGGUGGCGAGUGGCGAACGGGUGAGUAAUAUAUCGGAACGGUGCCCAGUCGUGGGGGAUAACGUAGCGAAAGCUACGCUAAUACCGCAUACGAUCUACGGAUGAAAGCGGGGGAUCGCAAGACCUCGCGCGAUUGGAGCGGCCGAUAUCAGAUUAGGUAGUUGGUGAGGUAAAGGCUCACCAAGCCGACGAUCUGUAGCUGGUCUGAGAGGACGACCAGCCACACUGGGACUGAGACACGGCCCAGACUCCUACGGAGGCAGCAGUGGGGAAUUUUGGACAAU